UAGCUGGGGCCGCGGGCUAACGGGAGCCCCUUUUUUCCUCCCCAUGGCCCUCAUGUCCCUCCUGUUCCGGCCACUCUGGGGGCGGGGGCAGGGAGGCAGGGAGAGGAGGUCUAGUGUCCCCUGAGUCACCAUGACUCAGUCUCCUUGCCUGGAAUCAUCACACUGCACGAAGCUCUCCAGGACGGUGAGCAGGCCUGGGAGUCAGCAUGGAGGAGGCCACACAGCAAGCCAGGAGUUUCCAAAUCACCCCACCACCAACAACAACUCUAUCAAAGGGAAGCAAAUCACCAGGAGAACAAAGGGUGAGGAGCCAUCUCGGCAGGGCCACAGGGCCCAGCAUACUCUCUGCAGGGCUGUGACCCUCCCAGGAGAGCCGACACCACCCCAACCCCAGGGACAGGACUGUGACACUCCCCUGCAACAACCCCGGUGAGCCUCUUACAGGAAGUCACCCACCCGCUCUCCUCUCUGUCCCUGUUGUCAGCCUCUGCCAUCUCUCAAGGCCGCAAGCUGCUAGGCCUGCUUCCUGCUCUGCGGGCAAGGACGCGGCCUCUCUCUCAUCGGAUGCCAAGGCUUGAUGCCACGGGGCUCCUGUCAUCAGGCUCAACCCUCAAGUUCAUCCUCUGUGACCCUGACGGAGGCUCCAACCCAGGACCUGCGGCUUCCGUCCAUCACCCUACUUUCCACACCUUUUUGGGUCCGUGUCGGGGACAUUAUACACCUGCCUGGUGUUGUGGGAGCACCGCCACCCACCAGCUUCGGCGCCCCUCAUCCACGGACCCCACCCCACCCCCUGGCCUGGCCCCGCCCCACCUGCUCUCUGUCCUUGUGCACUGGGCUCAUCUGGGUGCCUCACAGAAGUGAACAGGGACAGCAGCCUUGCGUUAGAGACCAGCCGACUGUAUCAGCAUAACACCCUCAGCCUGCUUCCCAGCCCCCUUGGUGUGAAAGGCGGAGCCACACUCACUGCACACCUGUGUCUCAGUUCACGUAGCUACUGUUGCAGAAAAGCAACCUGCCUCUGGCUGGCUCCGUGAAAAUUCUGAAGGGUUCAGGAGCAGAUGAAGCAAAAAUGGCCUUUGUCCCCCCUCUUGGCUGUGCCCGUGGUAAACCAUUCUGGCGCAUUCCUCAGGUUUUCAAGACAGAAAAGCAGGCCACUUGAUAGCCACUCUUACCACACAUGAAACCGUUUGUGGAAUGGAAGUAAAAGAUGCGACUCCCGAUUGCCCAGCCCACAGCCCGGCAGACACGCUGGGAGGCGGGAGGCUCAUGCUGCCCGGGCACGGCAGCAGACGCUGACAGAGGAGUCGCUUUGAAAAAUGUGACCCUCAUGGCGGGAGCCGCGAGCACGGGGGCCGAGGAGGCUCCAGCGUUUCAGUGGAUCACAACCAGGGGCGAGAUGGACAGUGGUAACCGCAUCUCUGAGUCACCGAGACUCACAUGUUCUGUAACCCCUGAUUAAGAAGGCCGGGAAGUGUGUAACAGCCACUGGCAAAGCCUCCCAGGAUCUCUCUUUUUAAGGUUUCGGAUAUUAACGUCUGGAACGCUGAUGUGAAACGGCUCAUUCUCAGAUGAUGACAUAAAGAUGACAUAGUACUGCUCUCUCUGCAGUUUACUCAGAACCCACCUCCACAUUCCAAGGAGCUGCCAGCACUCAGGUCUUUAUCCUCCCCAUCGGGGAAAGGGAGCGCAGGCAAAAGUCCCAGCCGUCAACCACCCCAAGCACAAUAAAAAAAAAAAAAAAAAAAAACACCUACUCCUUACUGAGCUUCUGCCUCUGACGUGGAAGGCGCUGGAAGGUGCAGUAUGGGCAAAUUGUAUUUCAGUCCUCAACAGCCCCACCAGGCCAACACUACACUCCCCAUUAGUGGGGAACCUGAGGCUCAGAGAGGUUAGACAACCGAGUAAGUUCAAAUUAGCAUGUGACAAUGAGCUCUCAGCCACCUGCACACACGCAUGCGUAUGCACACGCACACUGCCGACCACCGUCUCCCUGCACACACAGCAGAGUGCAGUAAGGGGCCAGCCUGGGCCACCUGAGGAAGGAGGGGACAGCGCCCAGGCCACGCACCUGCUGGCCCCAGAGGUCAGGGAUUCGGGGCCAGGGAGGGGGGGAGGCAGCGGAUGGGUGCCCUGGAACUCAGGAGGUACUCCCAAGAUGAGGAUACUGCCUCCCAGCACCCAGCACAGCCUCCCUACCCUCCGUGAGAAAGCCAGGACAAGGAUUCUGCGUUCACCAUGCCACACUUUUACCAGGGGUGCGGGCAGAGCUGAGUCCAGUCCUGGACAUUCCAGGGAGUAGG
This is a non-coding RNA of Oryctolagus cuniculus (rabbit), 2303 nucleotides long. NCBI's taxonomy places the organism in Eukaryota, Metazoa, Chordata, Mammalia, Lagomorpha, Leporidae. The record is from RefSeq and is a predicted model, not a curated record.